GGAUGAACGCUGGCGGCGUGCUUAACACAUGCAAGUCGAACGAGCCUUCGGGCUAGUGGCGGACGGGUGAGUAACGCGUGAGAAUCUGCCCUCAGGAGGGGGAUAACGGCUGGAAACGGCCGCUAAUACCCCAUAUGCCGCGAGGUGAAAUGAGAAAUCGCCUGAGGAUGAGCUCGCGUCUGAUUAGCUAGUUGGUGGGGUAAGAGCCUACCAAGGCAUCGAUCAGUAGCUGGUCUGAGAGGAUGAUCAGCCACACUGGGACUGAGACACGGCCCAGACUCCUACGGGAGGCAGCAGUGGGGAAUUUUCCGCAAUGGGCGCAAGCCUGACGGAGCAACGCCGCGUGAGGGAUGAAGGCCUCUGGGCUGUAAACCUCUUUUCUCAAGGAAGAAGAACUGACGGUACUUGAGGAAUAAGCCACGGCUAAUUCCGUGCCAGCAGCCGCGGUAAUACGGGAGUGGCAAGCGUUAUCCGGAAUUAUUGGGCGUAAAGCGUCCGCAGGCGGUCUUGAAAGUCUGUUGUUAAAGCGUGGAGCUCAACUCCAUUUCAGCAAUGGAAACUAGAAGACUAGAGUGUGGUAGGGGCAGAGGGAAUUCCCGGUGUAGCGGUGAAAUGCGUAGAUAUCGGGAAGAACACCAGUGGCGAAGGCGCUCUGCUGGGCCAUAACUGACGCUCAUGGACGAAAGCCAGGGGAGCGAAAGGGAUUAGAUACCCCUGUAGUCCUGGCCGUAAACGAUGAACACUAGGUGUCGGGGGAAUCGACCCCCUCGGUGUCGUAGCCAACGCGUUAAGUGUCCCGCCUGGGGAGUACGCACGCAAGUGUGAAACUCAAAGGAAUUGACGGGGGCCCGCACAAGCGGUGGAGUAUGUGGUUUAAUUCGAUGCAACGCGAAGAACCUUACCAGGGUUUGACAUCCUGCGAAUCUUUUGGAAACAGAAGAGUGCCUUCGGGAGCGCAGAGACAGGUGGUGCAUGGCUGUCGUCAGCUCGUGUCGUGAGAUGUUGGGUUAAGUCCCGCAACGAGCGCAACCCACGUCUUUAGUUGCCAGCAUUAAGUUGGGCACUCUAGAGAGACCGCCGGUGAUAAACCGGAGGAAGGUGUGGAUGACGUCAAGUCAUCAUGCCCCUUACAUCCUGGGCUACACACGUACUACAAUGCUACGGACAGAGGACGGCAAACUCGCGAGAGCUAGCAAAUCCCAUAAACCGUGGCUCAGUUCAGAUCGUAGGCUGCAACUCGCCUACGUGAAGGAGGAAUCGCUAGUAAUCGCAGGUCAGCAUACUGCGGUGAAUACGUUCCCGGGCCUUGUACACACCGCCCGUCACACCAUGGAAGUUGGCCAUGCCCGAAGUCGUUACUCCAACCCUUGUGGAGGAGGACGCCGAAGGUGGGGCUGAUGACUGGGGUGAAGUCGGAACAAGGUA
RNAcentral lists this ribosomal RNA (1425 nucleotides) under metagenome. RNAcentral describes it as "bacterial SSU rRNA". It matches the Rfam family "Bacterial small subunit ribosomal RNA". The record is from RNAcentral.